ACGUGAAACUGCUCAGAGGUAAACGGGUGGGCCCUCGAAAUCCUGUGGCGAGAGGAUUCAGUCUGGAGCCGCGGAAGUGCAGAUCGGAAGACCAGAAUGGCUUCCCCUGAAGGGGGCCGUCCGGUCGCACUCAGCGCCGUAGCGUCCAGACGCAUUUGUCUCUCGUCCGAAGGACGCCGCAGCCGGUUGGGUAGCGCAAGCGUGACGGCCUGAGGGGCGGAUGAUGGCAGGUGGCCGGUGGCGUGAGUUCUUUGCGUCGCCGGUUGUUAGCCGAUACCGUCAGUGGCUCGUCACCCGACCGAGGUGUCACGAGGCCCUUAUGGGCCCCCACGCCUCCUUCCUUUGGGAAUGCGGGACAGAGUGCUGCAGGUGUGCUGACGCAGCCCGUUCGCACCCCGAAGGGGUGGUCGGGCGAGAUUGGCUGCCGAUAGCGGUGCCGGACCCGUAGGAGGUCGGAGGCUUGCGGCGAGUAGGUCGGUCACCCACCCGACCCGUCUUGAAACACGGACCAAGGAGUCUAACAUGUGCGCGAGUCAAUGGGUCUUGAAUAGGCCCAGGGGCGCAAUGAAAGCAAAGGUCGGCCUUACGCCGACCGAGUUGGGAUCCCCGGUUUCGGCCGGGGCGCACCAACGACCCGUCCUAUCCGGUUCGCCGGUUGGGCGGAGUGUGAGCGUACACGUUGGGACCCGAAAGAUGGUGAACUAUGCCCGGACAGGACGAGGCCA
Molecule: ribosomal RNA, 725 nt
Filed under: Araneae sp. NZAC 03006337
Lineage: Eukaryota; Metazoa; Arthropoda; Arachnida; Araneae
Description: eukaryotic LSU rRNA
Rfam family: Eukaryotic large subunit ribosomal RNA
Source: RNAcentral